Molecule: non-coding RNA, 707 nt
Organism: Camellia sinensis
Lineage: Eukaryota; Viridiplantae; Streptophyta; Magnoliopsida; Ericales; Theaceae
Source: RefSeq, a predicted model, not a curated record
UUCGCAGAUAACCUCGGCCUUGUCGAGAUCACCUCGGCGUCAUGUCCUGGACACGUGGCACCUUGGCUAACACGUCGGCGUCACCUUAGCCAUGUGUUGGUACUCAGAAAAUAUAUCCCCACACAUACCAUAACAAAGGGCUCGCCUUCUCUGAGAAAGAGAGGGAUGCCCAUUAUCUGCAUGGUCUUCGUUUCCUAGUCAUCGUUGCCCCAAAAUCUUCAGGUUAUAAAAAAUACACCGCCUCUACUUUUGGAUUCUCCAUUUUCAUUUUUGUGUGUUUUUAAAUUUUCCUCGUCUUAGAAAAAAGGACUAAUGAUGGAUAUUUUUCUUGUUACUUUACCUACCAGAUCAAGAAAUUGAUGCACAAUAUCUGCUAGUAUCAAGUCCCACUGCGGAGGUACAUGGCCAUGAUGGAUAUCCAGGUCCUAACUAUAUUGGUGAUAGAGAAUUUGGAAAGGAAUGUGGAUUCUAUGGUUUGGGUCCUGAAAUCCUGUACUUCAUUAGCCUUGAGACUCAUUUAUGUUUUGCAAGAUUUAUAUUUUUUGGUUGUGUGACUCAUUUAGAAAGUUAGAUAUGCAUAGUUUUGGAUGGUUUAAACUUUUUGUACAGUUUAGAACUUAAGGAUAUAGUUUUUGAAUGUUUGGAAUGUAUAGACAAUUGUUAAAUAUUUAUAAUUUAUGGAUAUAGAUUCUUUUUCGUGUUUCAAA